This is a non-coding RNA of Peziza echinospora, 72 nucleotides long. The record is from the annotation of a GenBank genome assembly. NCBI's taxonomy places the organism in Eukaryota, Fungi, Ascomycota, Pezizomycetes, Pezizales, Pezizaceae.
GCCCGCAUGGCCAAGUGGUAAGGCGCGUCACUCGUAAUGACGAGAUCGUGUGUUCAAAUCACACUGUGGGCA